RNAcentral lists this ribosomal RNA (446 nucleotides) under uncultured bacterium. Its description in RNAcentral is "bacterial SSU rRNA". It matches the Rfam family "Bacterial small subunit ribosomal RNA", at positions 331 to 792 of the family's 1533-position model. The record is from RNAcentral.
CCAGACUCCUACGGGAGGCAGCAGUGGGGGAUAUUGCACAAUGGGGGGAACCCUGAUGCAGCGACGCCGCGUGAGGGAAGACGGCCUUCGGGUUGUAAACCUCUGUCGCAGGGGACGAAGGAGAUGACGGUACCCUGUGAGGAAGCCACGGCUAACUACGUGCCAGCAGCCGCGGUAAUACGUAGGUGGCGAGCGUUGUCCGGAAUUACUGGGUGUAAAGGGAGCGUAGGCGGGAUAUUAAGUUGAAUGUAUAAACUACCGGCUUAACCGAUAGAAGCGUUCAAAACUGAUAUUCUUGAGUGAAGUAGAGGCAGGCGGAAUUCCUAGUGUAGCGGUGAAAUGCGUAGAUAUUAGGAGGAACACCAGUGGCGAAGGCGGCCUGCUGGGCUUUAACUGACGCUGAGGCUCGAAAGCGUGGGUAGCAAACAGGAUUAGAUACCCGAGUA